GCCGGGGGGGGUCUUUACAUGCAGUCGACGGAAAGGCCUCUAGCUUGCUGGGGGUACUCGAGUGGCGAACGGGUGAGUAACACGUGGGUGAUCUGCCCUGCACUUCGGGAUAAGCUUGGGAAACUGGGUCUAAUACCGGAUAUGAACGGUCUUUGGUGUGAUUGUUGGAAAGAUUUUUUCGGUGUGGGAUGAGCUCGCGGCCUAUCAGCUUGUUGGUGGGGUAAUGGCCUACCAAGGCGUCGACGGGUAGCCGGCCUGAGAGGGUGUACGGCCACAUUGGGACUGAGAUACGGCCCAGACUCCUACGGGAGGCAGCAGUGGGGAAUAUUGCACAAUGGGCGCAAGCCUGAUGCAGCGACGCCGCGUGGGGGAUGAAGGCCUUCGGGUUGUAAACUCCUUUCGCUAGGGACGAAGCCUUUUAUUAGGUGACGGUACCUGGAUAAGAAGCACCGGCUAACUACGUGCCAGCAGCCGCGGUAAUACGUAGGGUGCAAGCGUUGUCCGGAAUUACUGGGCGUAAAGAGCUCGUAGGUGGUUUGUCGCGUCGUCUGUGAAAUUCCGGGGCUUAACUCCGGGCGUGCAGGCGAUACGGGCAUAACUUGAGUGCUGUAGGGGAGACUGGAAUUCCUGGUGUAGCGGUGAAAUGCGCAGAUAUCAGGAGGAACACCGAUGGCGAAGGCAGGUCUCUGGGCAGUAACUGACGCUGAGGAGCGAAAGCAUGGGUAGCGAACAGGAUUAGAUACCCUGGUAGUCCAUGCCGUAAACGGUGGGCGCUAGGUGUAGGGGGCUUCCACGUCUUC
This 800-nucleotide ribosomal RNA is filed under the name Corynebacterium sp. JSM 2215059. RNAcentral describes it as "bacterial SSU rRNA". It matches the Rfam family "Bacterial small subunit ribosomal RNA", at positions 35 to 841 of the family's 1533-position model. Lineage: Bacteria; Bacillati; Actinomycetota; Actinomycetes; Mycobacteriales; Corynebacteriaceae. The record is from RNAcentral.